AGGUUCGAGCUAAAACUUUGUGCACGGAGCAAAUUAAAAAGAAUAAAAUAAAAAAUAAAAUAAUAACAGGCAUAAGUAGCUGAAAGAAAAGCGACGACAACAACAAAAGCUGAUGAAUACGUGCGUUCGUGUGGGUGCCGUGCAUUCUGCGUACACAUUUACAAGCAUUCGUACGCUUAAAUUAAAUACUUUGGCUUAAUUAAAUACUUCCGCGGCGUCGUUGUUGUAGUUGUUGAUAUUUUGCCUCUUCACGCGUUGUCUACGGUUAUCGAUUGUCGUCGUCUCGCUCCCUCGUACGCAUACGCAUCGAGUUGUUGUUUGUUUGUUGUUUGUGUCUGUCCUCGCGUUUUGUUUGUGUACUGACAAAAUAACAACAAAAUAAAAGCCGAAAGACUGUGAAUAAGCAUAAAUAAUAAACAACGAGACAAGUGCAAAAAGCGCAGCGAAAAGGCCAGCUGGUAAAUCCAACUCAAAGGAACAUCCAGAGGAACCCGGAAAAUUUAUCACUCCAAUCACAAGUGCAA
This is a long non-coding RNA of Drosophila mauritiana, 524 nucleotides long. RefSeq lists it as uncharacterized. The record is from RefSeq and is a predicted model, not a curated record. Lineage: Eukaryota; Metazoa; Arthropoda; Insecta; Diptera; Drosophilidae. The transcript has 2 exons.